RNAcentral lists this ribosomal RNA (1877 nucleotides) under marine metagenome. RNAcentral describes it as "bacterial LSU rRNA". It matches the Rfam family "Bacterial large subunit ribosomal RNA", at positions 482 to 2473 of the family's 2925-position model. The record is from RNAcentral.
GACCGAUAGUGAACCAGUACCGUGAGGGAAAGGCGAAAAGAACCCCUAGCAGGGGAGUGAAAUAGACCCUGAAACCGGAUGCUUACAAGCAGUUGGAGCCUCUUUAUGAGGUGACAGCGUACCUUUUGUAUAAUGGGUCAGCGACUUAAUCUCAUUAGCAAGCUUAAGCCAUAUAGGUGUAGGCGAAGCGAAAGCGAGUCUGAAUAGGGCGAUUUAGUUAAUGGGAUUAGACUCGAAACCGGGUGAUCUAGUCAUGAGCAGGUUGAAAGUGAAGUAAAAUUCACCGGAGGACCGAACCCACUAGCGUUGAAAAGCUACGGGAUGACUUGUGAUUAGGGGUGAAAGGCCAACCAAACUCGGAAAUAGCUAGUUCUCCGCGAAAACUAUUUAGGUAGUGCGUCGUGUGAAUCUUAUUGGGGGUAGAGCACUGAAUGGGCUAGGGGGAAGCAAUUCCUACCAAACCUAAUCAAACUCCGAAUACCAGUAAGUCUGCACGGCAGACAGUCCAUGGGUGCUAAGGUCCUUGGACGAGAGGGAAACAGCCCAGAUCAACAGCUAAGGUCCCCAAAUAAUGAUUAAGUGUGAAAGGGAGUGGGAACUCCAAGACAGCCAGGAGGUUGGCUUAGAAGCAGCCAUCCUUUAAAGAAAGCGUAACAGCUCACUGGUCUAAUUAAGAGAUCCUGCACCGAAAAUGUAACGGGGCUCAAAUCAUUUACCGAAGCUUUGACAAUUACUUUUAGUAAUUGGGUAGCGGAGCGUUCUGUAAGCCUGUAAAGGUGAUGCGUAAGCAUUGCUGGAGGUAUCAGAAGUGCGAAUGCUGACAUGAGUAACGAUAAGAAAUGUGAAAGACAUUUCCGCCGAAAUCCUAAGGUUUCCUGCGUAAAGCUAAUCUGCGCAGGGUUAGUCGGCCCCUAAGGCGAGGGCGAAAGCCGUAGUCGAUGGGAAGCAGGUUAAUAUUCCUGCACCAGCUGGUAGUGACGGAUGAAGUAAAUUGUGAGUUCUUACUGGAUUGAACUUGCAGUGAAUUUGUCCCUGGAAAUAGCUCCAGCAUUAGACCGUACCAAAACCGACACAGGUAGGAGGGUAGAGAAUACCAAGGCGCUUGAGAGAACUAUGUUGAAGGAACUCGGCAAAUUACACUUGUAACUUCGGGAUAAAAGUGACCUGCUAUUGGGCAACCAGUAGGAGGUGGCACAGAAGAGGGGGUAGCGACUGUUUACUAAAAACAUAGCACUAUGCAAAGUCGAAAGACGACGUAUAUGGUGUGACGCCUGCCCGGUGCCGGAAGGUUAAUAGGAGGGGUGCAAGCCCUGAAUUGAAGCCCCGGUGAACGGCGGCCGUAACUAUAACGGUCCUAAGGUAGCGAAAUUCCUUGUCGGGUAAGUUCCGACCUGCACGAAUGGCGUAACGAUUUCCCCACUGUCUCCAACAUAGACUCAGUGAAAUUGAAUUCUCGGUUAAGAUGCCGAGUAACCGUGGUUAGACGGAAAGACCCCGUGCACCUUUACUGCAGCUUUGUAUUGGUAUUAGGGAACAGAUGUGUAGCAUAGGUGGGAGACUUUGAAGGAGUGGCGCUAGCCAUUCUGGAGUCACUAGUGAAAUACCACUCUUCUGUUCCUUGAUGCCUAACCAUACACCGUCAUCCGGUGUUGGGACCAUGCAUGGUGGGCAGUUUGACUGGGGCGGUCGCCUCCCAAAGAGUAACGGAGGCGCGCGAUGGUAGGCUCAGAACGCUUGGAAACCGUUCGUCGAGUGCAAUGGCAUAAGCCUGCCUGACUGCGAGACCCACAAGUCGAGCAGAGACGAAAGUCGGUCAUAGUGAUCCGGUGGCACUUCGUGGAAGGGCCAUCGCUCAACGGAUAAAAGGUACGCCGGGG